GAUGAACGCUGGCGGCGUGCCUAAUACAUGCAAGUCGAGCGAACAGGCGAGGAGCUUGCUCCUCUGACGUUAGCGGCGGACGGGUGAGUAACACGUGGAUAACCUACCUAUAAGACUGGGAUAACUUCGGGAAACCGGAGCUAAUACCGGAUAAUAUAUUGAACCGCAUGGUUCAAUAGUGAAAGACGGUUUUGCUGUCACUUAUAGAUGGAUCCGCGCCGCAUUAGCUAGUUGGUAAGGUAACGGCUUACCAAGGCAACGAUGCGUAGCCGACCUGAGAGGGUGAUCGGCCACACUGGAAGUGAGACACGGUCCAGACUCCUACGGGAGGCAGCAGUAGGGAAUCGUCCGCAAUGGGCGAAAGCUUGACGGAGCAACGCCGCGUGAGUGAUGAAGGUCUUCGGAUCGUAAAACUCUGUUAUUAGGGAAGAACAAAUGUGUAAGUAACUAUGCACGUCUUGACGGUACCUAAUCAGAAAGCCACGGCUAACUACGUG
RNAcentral lists this ribosomal RNA (497 nucleotides) under uncultured bacterium. RNAcentral describes it as "partial 16S ribosomal RNA". It matches the Rfam family "Bacterial small subunit ribosomal RNA", at positions 28 to 507 of the family's 1533-position model. The record is from RNAcentral.